AAUAAGCACUGGGAGUGUUGGAAAGGCCAACUGAGAUUAAGACCCGAAUAUGUCUUUGAUCCCUAAUCACCUGAUCUAGUUCAUACUAGCGUAGGAAAGUGUUUUAUAUUUAGC
Molecule: non-coding RNA, 114 nt
Filed under: Haloplasma contractile
Lineage: Bacteria; Bacillati; Mycoplasmatota; Mollicutes; Haloplasmatales; Haloplasmataceae
Also listed under: 1 other name
Description: TPP sequence
Rfam family: TPP riboswitch aptamer (THI element)
About the family: Vitamin B(1) in its active form thiamin pyrophosphate (TPP) is an essential coenzyme that is synthesised by coupling of pyrimidine and thiazole moieties in bacteria. The previously detected thiamin-regulatory element, thi box was extended, resulting in a new, highly conserved RNA secondary structure, the THI element, which is widely distributed in eubacteria and also occurs in some archaea.
Source: RNAcentral